Molecule: ribosomal RNA, 468 nt
Filed under: uncultured bacterium
Lineage: Bacteria
Description: partial 16S ribosomal RNA
Rfam family: Bacterial small subunit ribosomal RNA
Source: RNAcentral
GACGAACGCUGGCGGCGUGCUUAACACAUGCAAGUCGAACGGUGAAGCUCCAGCUUGCUGGUGUGGAUCAGUGGCGAACGGGUGAGUAACACGUGAGCAACCUGCCCCUGACUCUGGAAUAAGCGCUGGAAACGGCGUCUAAUACUGGAUACGAGAAGGGUCCGCAUGGGCACUUUCUGGACAGUUUUUCGGUUGGGGAUGGGCUCGCGGCCUAUCAGCUUGUUGGUUAGGUAAUGGCUCACCAAGGCGACGACGGGUAGCCGGCCUGAGAGGGCGACCGGCCACACUGGGACUGAGACACGGCCCAGACUCCUACGGGAGGCAGCAGUGGGGAAUAUUGCACAAUGGGCGAAAGCCUGAUGCAGCGACGCCGCGUGAGGGAUGACGGCCUUCGGGUUGUAAACCUCUUUCAGCAGGGAAGAAGCGAAAGUGACGGUACCUGCAGAAGAAGCACCGGCUAACUACGUG